This 145-nucleotide non-coding RNA is filed under the name Rhizobium sp. RNAcentral describes it as "FMN sequence". It matches the Rfam family "FMN riboswitch aptamer (RFN element)". Rfam says of the family: The RFN element is a highly conserved domain that is found frequently in the 5'-untranslated regions of prokaryotic mRNAs that encode for flavin mononucleotide (FMN) biosynthesis and transport proteins. This element is a metabolite-dependent riboswitch that directly binds FMN in the absence of proteins. In Bacillus subtilis, the riboswitch most likely controls gene expression by causing premature transcription termination within the 5' untranslated region of the ribDEAHT operon and precluding access to the ribosome-binding site of ypaA mRNA. Lineage: Bacteria; Pseudomonadati; Pseudomonadota; Alphaproteobacteria; Hyphomicrobiales; Rhizobiaceae. RNAcentral also lists the same sequence under 1 other name. The record is from RNAcentral.
CAGUGUUCUCAGGGCGGGGUGCAAUUCCCCACCGGCGGUAUCCGGCUUUGCCGGGAGCCCGCGAGCGCUUCCAUUUCGGUGGAAGGCAGCAGAUCCGGUGCGAUGCCGGAGCCGACGGUCAUAGUCCGGAUGAAAGAGAACAACG